UAGUGUCUGUAUGAGACACCUUUUUAAUGCACGGUUAGCGCUGUGAAACAAUCACAGUUUAUUUAUGGCACCAAAAUGACCUGGUUAGGGCUAGUAAAAGGAAAAUAAUAUCUCACGUCAUAACAUCAGCUUUCAAAUAAGCCAAUUGUUUUCACACAGGAAACAACCCCUUCUCUUCUGGCUGGAGGUCCUGUGUUUGUUUGACCCCGUGAUCCACCAAACCAACCUCCCUGCACUCUGUCACCUGACAUGGAUAGGUUACCUUGGAGUAGACUAGUAGUACACUAAAAGGUACCUUGUGUGAGACACUGAGGCGAGUCUUCCACACAACAUUCCAAUGAGGCUGAAUUCUCCGACUCUCAGUAUAGACAGAACCUAUGAGGGUUUCCAUAAAAGCCUGUUAUGGAUCGACAAAUACAUGAUAUAAAACCCAAAUUAUAAUUCACGUAUUUGUGUGGCUGCAGGGGUUUGCCGUACACUCAGACAUCUGUUUUUGGAUCAUAAGUCCUUAAGUUAAAUGACAUGGAGCGACUGUUUAAAGUUUCAGACUUUGUCCCACAGUUCUGACAACAGCACCCCAAAGUACAAAACUACAACCAUGACCUUUGAAAGUCACUAUGCUUCUUGCUGUACCUGGACCAGCUCCAGAGCGUCAAUGUGCCAAUAUACACAACCCUGCUACUCUCUUGCAUUUCUCUUUAGAUUCGUUGUUGCAUCCUGCAUAGUGCUAACUGUUUCUAAAUGAUCAAACUAAAGCCUGUGUGAUGAGAUUUCUCAGUGAGUGCCUGAAGGAUGUGAGCUGAAUUAUAGCCUUCAUUUGUUAGAGAGGAUCUUUGUGUCCAUUCUCUCUCUGUCUCUCUCACCACAUUAGUUGUUAUCUGCAUGAACAGCUCCAAGACGCUUGGAUCAAUAUAAACCCUGCAGCCAUGGGAGAGCAGUGUCCUCGUAAAUGUGGGACCAAGAGACAAAGACAGACACAGGCAGCAGCCAAGAGGGAAGGAGAACCAAGGAGAAGAGGAAUGACAGAAGGGAAAGGACAUCAUGAGACUGUAGCAACCAGACAGCACUGGAGAUUUCAUUCUGUAGAAGAAUCUAGAAUCUGUUUGAACCCAGGAAGAGCUGAGUCCUGUCUCCGUCGCCUCCCGGCUAAUCCAAAAGUGGUCAAAGAGGUGGAUCAUGGGUGGAGCUAAGGCAAGCUGGUUGCCCAAACAAGCCACCUAUAACCUGUCAAUCAAAGCAGCUAUUUAAACAGAGGAGGCGCAUCCAUGAACCUGCUCCAUUCUAAACCCCGGCGAGAGAGGCAGAGUGCUGAUUGGGAGUCAGUGUCUGCUGACAACAACAGGAGGAGGGCAGCGUCCCAUUGGCUGCGUGACAUCACAGAGGAGUAACGGAGCGUCCCCGGGGGGGGUCACUCAGUCCUGUUCUGUUUUUAGCCUCGACGGCUGCACUGAUGCACUCACUGUAUUGUUCAUCAGAGCUCCACUCCUCACCUCUCUCUGCACACUUUAUUCAUGUUGCAUCCACUUCUGUGCUGCCCCUGUUGUUGCUCUCUUCCUCUCCUUGUGCUGCAGCACACACCUGAACCUCACCUGGUCAUUACUCAUGCUGAAAUCCACCGGUUCUCCAGUCACUCCUCACCAGACCUUUACAGUUUCCCCCGGUAACUAGUCAGGCUCCUCUUCCCAGUGAUUCCCACUCAAAGUGCUUUGUGAGACUCUUAGUGUUUUCUUGGUUCUCCUGUAUUUUUUCUCUCCCUGUGUUUCCUGCCUCAUUUUUUGACCCUGUGCUUCCUGUGCUUUAGAUCACCUACCCCUGCUGAGCAGCUGCCAGCCCGGACCCACUUCUCUCCUAGACCCUCACCGCCGACCUCUCCCCCCUCAUGUCUCCCCG
Long non-coding RNA from Larimichthys crocea (large yellow croaker), 1890 nucleotides. RefSeq lists it as uncharacterized. NCBI's taxonomy places the organism in Eukaryota, Metazoa, Chordata, Actinopteri, Sciaenidae. The transcript is spliced from 3 exons. The record is from RefSeq and is a predicted model, not a curated record.